UACAGGGGGUGCAACCGUUGCUCGGAAUCAUUGGGCGUAAAGCGCUCGUAGGCGGUUCGUUAUGUCGGAUGUGAAAGCCCUUGGCUUAACCGAGGAAGUGCAUCCGAAACUGGCGAGCUAGAGUACUAAAGAGGAUCGCGGAAUUCCCGGUGUAGAGGUGAAAUUCGUAGAUAUCGGGAGGAACACCGGUGGCGAAGGCGGCGAUCUGGGUAGAUACUGACGCUGAGGUGCGAAAGCGUGGGGAGCAAACAGG
This 253-nucleotide ribosomal RNA is filed under the name uncultured bacterium. RNAcentral describes it as "partial 16S ribosomal RNA". It matches the Rfam family "Bacterial small subunit ribosomal RNA", at positions 524 to 776 of the family's 1533-position model. The record is from RNAcentral.